Long non-coding RNA from Microplitis mediator, 847 nucleotides. RefSeq lists it as uncharacterized. Lineage: Eukaryota; Metazoa; Arthropoda; Insecta; Hymenoptera; Braconidae. The record is from RefSeq and is a predicted model, not a curated record. The transcript has 3 exons.
UUUCACCGUGAUUCAAAUCUGCGAAGGUCAACCCUCUAAAACCCCCCACGGGAAAGCCGAAGGAAAUUGAUUUUGUCUAUCUUUUUUAACAUUUAAUGUCUAGAUGACGAUUUCAACGUCCAAUACGUCUGACUUGCGAUUCCAACGUUCAUUACGUCCGACUGACGAUUCAAAUUUCGACUCGGGGGGUAUAUAUAAUUAAUAAUUUGUAAAUUAGAUAUAAAAUUUUACUGACUAAGUGUCUAUCAUGUAUCUAUCAUCUAUCAAUAUAUUGAUAACUUAAGCAAAAUAAAUAGUCAUGAAACGUAUCAUGAUAUACCCGGCCAAGCAGACAAGACAAGGAGUGCCGUCGGCGCAUGUCAAUACAUGUAGAAAGAUACUAACACCAUAAGAGAAAAGGAAAAAUAUUAUUUUAUACGCAUAUACAUGGAGAAUAUAUAAAGGCAGAUGGUCAGGGCAAAUGAGCGUGUGGCGGAACAGAGGAAGUGGUAGAGAUAGGACGAUUGAACAAGUUGAAGAAUCGGGACUUAAAAGGGAUACACCAAGAGAUGAUAACAAACGGAAGAAAAAUCCAUUGCGGAGAUUGUUUGAGAACAAAAGAGUUCGGUACCAAUGAAGAACAGUUUAAAAUUCGAGCAAAUCGUUCCCUGGCAAUUUAGAAUCACAGUGGAAACACGGUGGGUUUGUUCCAUUUUACCACUGUGAUUACGCGGUGUAUCCACCGUAAUUCCACGGUGGCUUUGCUACCGUGUAUACACGGUGUUUCCACUGUGAUUACGCGGUGGAUACACCGUGGGACCACGGUGGUGAAAUGGCACAAAGCCACCGUGAAAUCACGGUGAAUACA